AGCAACAAAUGCCCUGCUUCCAGGAAAAGCCUCUAAGCCUCAGGUAACAUCAAAUCGUACCCCAAACCGACACAGGUGGUCAGGUAGAGAAUACCAAGGCGCUUGAGAGAACUCGGGUGAAGGAACUAGGCAAAAUGGUGCCGUAACUUCGGGAGAAGGCACGCUGACACGUAGGUGAAGUGGUUUACCCAUGGAGCUGAAGUCAGUCGAAGAUACCAGCUGGCUGCAACUGUUUAUUAAAAACACAGCACUGUGCAAACACGAAAGUGGACGUAUACGGUGUGACGCCUGCCCGGUGCCGGAAGGUUAAUUGAUGGGGUUAUCCGUAAGGAGAAGCUCUUGAUCGAAGCCCCGGUAAACGGCGGCCGUAACUAUAACGGUCCUAAGGUAGCGAAAUUCCUUGUCGGGUAAGUUCCGACCUGCACGAAUGGCGUAAUGAUGGCCAGGCUGUCUCCACCCGGGACUCAGUGAAAUUGAACUCGCUGUGAAGAUGCAGUGUACCCGCGGCAAGACGGAAAGACCCCGUGAACCUUUACUAUAGCUUGACACUGAACACUGGUCCUUGAUGUGCAGGAUAGGUGGGAGGCUUUGAAGUGUGGACGCCAGUCUGCAUGGAGCCGUCCUUGAAAUACCACCCUUUAAUGGCUGGUGUUCUAACGUGGGCCCGUGAACCGGGUUGCGGACAGUGUCUGGUGGGUAGUUUGACUGGGGCGGUCUCCUCCUAAAGAGUAACGGAGGAGCACGAAGGUUGGCUAAUCCUGGUCGGACAUCAGGAGGUUAGUGCAAUGGCAUAAGCCAGCUUGACUGCGAGCGUGACGGCGCGAGCAGGUGCGAAAGCAGGUCAUAGUGAUCCGGUGGUUCUGAAUGGAAGGGCCAUCGCUCAACGGAUAAAAGGUACUCCGGGGAUAACAGGCUGAUACCGCCCAAGAGUUCAUAUCGACGGCGGUGUUUGGCACCUCGAUGUCGGCUCAUCACAUCCUGGGGCUGAAGUAGGUCCCAAGGGUAUGGCUGUUCGCCAUUUAAAGUGGUACGCGAGCUGGGUUUAGAACGUCGUGAGACAGUUCGGUCCCUAUCUGCCGUGGGCGCUGGAAGAUUGAGGGGGGCUGCUCCUAGUACGAGAGGACCGGAGUGGACGCAUCACUGGUGUUCGGGUUGUCAUGCCAAUGGCACUGCCCGGUAGCUACAUGCGGAAGAGAUAAGUGCUGAAAGCAUCUAAGCACGAAACUUGCCCCGAGAUGAAUCUUCCCUGAGCCUUUAAGGCUCCUGAAGGAACGUUGAAGACGACGACGUUGAUAGGCCGGGUGUGUAAGCGCAGCGAUGCGUUGAGCUAACCGGUACUAAUGAACCGUGAGGCUUAACCUU
This 1362-nucleotide ribosomal RNA is filed under the name Salmonella enterica. RNAcentral describes it as "partial 23S ribosomal RNA". It matches the Rfam family "Bacterial large subunit ribosomal RNA", at positions 1589 to 2925 of the family's 2925-position model. The record is from RNAcentral. Lineage: Bacteria; Pseudomonadati; Pseudomonadota; Gammaproteobacteria; Enterobacterales; Enterobacteriaceae.